UACGGGGGGAGCAAGCGUUGUUCGGAUUUACUGGGCGUAAAGGGCGCGUAGGCGGCCACUGCAAGUCAGUUGUGAAAUCUCCGGGCUUAACCCGGAAAGGUCAACUGAUACUGCAGGGCUAGAGUGCAGAAGGGGCAACUGGAAUUCUCGGUGUAGCGGUGAAAUGCGUAGAUAUCGAGAGGAACACCUGCGGCGAAGGCGGGUUGCUGGGCUGACACUGACGCUGAGGCGCGAAAGCGUGGGUAGCAAACAGG
This 254-nucleotide ribosomal RNA is filed under the name uncultured bacterium. RNAcentral's name for it is "partial 16S ribosomal RNA". It matches the Rfam family "Bacterial small subunit ribosomal RNA", at positions 524 to 776 of the family's 1533-position model. The record is from RNAcentral.